UUUUCGUGCAAGGCGGCUACUACCUCGCAGCACGAAUGUUGAUUUAACAGGGCUGCCAUUUUUUGACUGUUGAAACAGUCCGACCUCGGGCGUCAGCUUCAGCAAACACACAAUAUCCUGGAGCAUAGAA
Molecule: long non-coding RNA, 130 nt
Organism: Hippocampus comes (tiger tail seahorse)
Lineage: Eukaryota; Metazoa; Chordata; Actinopteri; Syngnathiformes; Syngnathidae
Exons: 3
Source: RefSeq, a predicted model, not a curated record